Molecule: ribosomal RNA, 253 nt
Filed under: uncultured bacterium
Lineage: Bacteria
Description: partial 16S ribosomal RNA
Rfam family: Bacterial small subunit ribosomal RNA
Source: RNAcentral
UACGUAGGGUGCAAGCGUUGUCCGGAAUCACUGGGCGUAAAGCGCACGUAGGCGGACUCUUAAGUCGGUGGUGAAAUCCUGGAGCUCAACUCCAGAACUGCCUUCGAUACUGAGAGUCUUGAGUCCGGGAGAGGUGAGUGGAACUGCGAGUGUAGAGGUGAAAUUCGUAGAUAUUCGCAAGAACACCAGUGGCGAAGGCGGCUCACUGGCCCGGUACUGACGCUGAGGUGCGAAAGCGUGGGGAGCAAACAGG